AUCACCUACGGGGGGCAGCAGUGAGGAAUAUUGGUCAAUGGGCUUACGCCUGAACCAGCCAAGUCGCGUGAGGGAAGACUGCCCUAUGGGUUGUAAACCUCUUUUGUCAGGGAGCAACGCCGGCUACGUGUAGCCGGACUGAGAGUACCUGAAGAAAAAGCAUCGGCUAACUCCGUGCCAGCAGCCGCGGUAAUACGUAGGUGGCAAGCGUUGUCCGGAAUUACUGGGUGUAAAGGGAGCGCAGGCGGGAAGCCAAGUCAGCUGUGAAAACUACGGGCUUAACCUGCAGACUGCAGUUGAAACUG
This 305-nucleotide ribosomal RNA is filed under the name uncultured bacterium. Its description in RNAcentral is "bacterial SSU rRNA". It matches the Rfam family "Bacterial small subunit ribosomal RNA", at positions 334 to 635 of the family's 1533-position model. The record is from RNAcentral.